ACUAUCUAUAUCUACUCUAGUUUAGAGAAGAGAGGAGAGCUCUCAUCUAUAAACCCUAGCUUUUGCUCUGUCUAUGAAUAAUGAAUAAUGAUCAAGGGGUGCCUCCUCCAGGGGCCAGGGGGUCUGGUUAUAUAGUCCCCUCAAGUGAACCUGGGCCGUCGGAUCAAACCGACAUUGAUUGAACGAUUAUUCUUGAUCCUUUAGGUCGGUGGAGAUCUCCCGAGAGAAAGAGUCCUGAUUGGGCUCCAAGUCAGGGCGGGCGCCCAGGGCAGGAGGGCGGGCGCCCUGCCUCUGGCCCCGUUCGGCCUCCGCUUCCUUCCCGUUGCUUCUAGAGUCUUCUAGAUGUAAGAUAAUUGCGCGGCACGUUAAUAUCUCUAUGUAAUCCCAACGUGUGGGCCUUUCUUCCGUAUUUCCUGAUAACCCCCUGCAAAAAUAGACAAACACCAAAACUCGUGGAAUUCUGUCAGAUAAAACCCUAAGUCUAGAUGUUGAUUUCAUUUGGAUCCUUUUCUUUGUUUAUUUGAUAAUUAAAUUUGACACUUAACGACCGUCAACAAACUCCCCCAAGCUUACCUCUUGCACGUCCCUGACCAAGGAUAGACUCAGCAAUGGAUUAGAAGUUGUUGCAAUAUCUUAAAAAUUUAACGGUACACAUGCUUUUAAAUAAGAUCUCAUCUCUGAGUUAGAGUAAACUGUCAAGAACUAAAACUUACUUACUUUACCUUUCACCAUGGGACUUGUAACCGUCACUUCUGUCUUGAGUAGUUAAAAGAUAGAACAGUCUAGCCAAGUGCCAUGUCUCUUAUUCUUGAUCAUCUAUAGCUCUGGAGUUUUUACAGAUUUUCAAAUAAAACUCAGAGAUUCCUUGUAUGACUCUCUAAAUAUCUCUUUUGUGGUAUUUCUGGAUCCUUACCAAGGCAGUGAUGGUAUAUGCCUUCUCUCAAGAUAUGUGGUAUUUGUGGUAUAAGGCAUAGUGACAUUGCCUUCUCUCUCACCCUACUCUAAUAAGGCUUUAAUAUCUGGAGCUCAUAGGUGGGAGACAGCUAAUACAUACUUACAAGACAUUUAUUGCAUUGUCAAACCAUGGAUCCAGAGAAACAAGUCAAUAAGUCAAAUCAAGAUGUGCAUGUGUGGCGAAUGAAUGGUGUAUGGUGAUGAUGGUGAUAACAAUGGUGGAAGUCUAAUUCUACUUUUGCUCUUUUGAGGGGAUACAUACCUUCCUUGCUUUUUGAAACUUUAUGAGGAGAAUGAGAUGCUCUUCUUUUUCUUUCCUCUCAGGUGGGUAUCUUGUACCCCUAAUUCUACUGUCGGAUACUUGUCCAUUUUUACCUCUCGUCUCACAUUUUCUUUCUUUCGAGGUUCCGGGCACUUGCCCCUUUUUAUUUCCUCGUUUAUUUUUUUUUCUUCUUUUCUUCUCUUUUCUUUCUUUUUUUUCUUUGUUUUCAGAGCACUCAUCUGUUGAGAUAAUAUAGCAAGUGGUAGUAGCAAGAUAACUUGAGCAUUUAUUUCACAAGGGAAAACAGAAAUAUUUUGGCUAUUCUCUCCCGGAUUAGGAGUAGAAUAUUUUUGGGUGGUUCUGGAGAUGGACAGGGAUGAAUAUAUGUGGAUGGUACUUCCAGAGUAGAAGUAGCAUAUAUGAGUGAACGUGCAAGUGAAUCUUGAUUUAACCACAUGACAAGCUCUUAAGGGUCUACACAGCUUGACCACACUCAAUGCUCGUAAGCAGUAAAUAAUAAAUGUAUGGCUCAAAGUCUAGCAAGCAUGUAUAUUUGGCUGUGGUAGGAAUUUAAACUCUCAUCAUAUAGGAACUCAUCAUGCAAUAUUUUAAAAAAUUUUCAAAGAUAAAAUUCUCCAAAAUUCUAGCAUCUCUAGGAACAGAUAAACAGCAGCUCAACCUUCCCAUAUCAUAUCCGUUAACAACUUAGAUUUCGGAUCAAGUUUUCAUCCCAAAAGUUUAGAUCUAGAGCAAGCUUUAAAUUAUAACAGUUAUGUCUAAACUUCAGAGAGAACUUCAAAUUUGCAAAUUAGGCAGAGCAACUAUUCAUCAUAUCCAUGCUAGAGUUUUAUUAUUAAGAUCCAGAUUACAUGGCCACUUUAUUUAUUUUUUAAACACACCAAGCAAAAGAUAUAUAUAUAUAUAUAAGCACAAAAUCUUUAUUUGGUUUUUCAUAGUUUAUGUAUUUUAAUAUUCUAAUAUAAUAUAAGUAUAAAGAUAAGUAGAAAUACUUAGCGAGAUAAAUGGAGGCGCUCUCCCCCAAGCUGAAUUUUGACGUAAUUUCUCUUGAUGUAGCUAGCAGGUGGCAGAGGUGUAUUUGAAAGUCAGCAGCAUUAUGACAGUGAUUAGAAAGUCCUCCAUCUGCUAGUCUUCUUGAUUCUUAAAUUCUGUGGAGCUCAAAUAGACAACAAAGCUUGUGGAACUAAUUAAGUGUUAGCAUAAAUAUCUAGCCUUCAUCAUGUUGAGCUUCCUCAAUAAAUAUUACUCCCUGUUUUUAUAUUUUUAUUUUAUAAAGUAGAAAAUAAAUAUUUAUUUUAUUUUUAUGCAACCACAGUGAAGGUACUUAUGGGUUUUAUGCCACUCGUAUACUCACAUGGGGCUUAGUAUUUUUAACAUUUUUAUUUUCUUUUCAAGAUAGCAUGAUUAACUAAUAAUCUAUUUAAUGAAAGUAAAUAAUUAAAGAGAAAAGGGAAUACGGAAAGGAUAAAUAUGGAUAACUACUGAUCUUACCUUUUGGCGAGGGUUCAAUGUUUGAAGUCUUCUUAACAAGACUUCUCACCGUGUUCAUUCUUCAGGUGCGUCAUUUGAUUCAGGUGCGGACCUUGACGUCUACACCUCUUGAUAUGGUGUCACCCAUGUUCUUCAUUUUCCCAGCAGUUCGAAGUGCGGUGUUGGCAGUAACCUGCUCAGUGUGUUUGUGCUCGUAGAUCCAGGUCCUUCACUUGGUAGAGUCUGAGAGUUGUAAAACUCCACCAUGUUCUGUUCCAAGUGUACCUGUUCAUAGAGACAAGGCAGAGAUCAAGUGCAUGGGUCCUGUUGGUGGAAAACACCAACAGAACCAAAAGUGUAUUUGUUCUUCUCUAACCUUAAGCAUAGUGAGAAAGACAAAGUUGAUGGAUGAAAAGUUCAUGAGUGUAGCACUUAUAACAUUUGUCAGAUGAGAUCGCUCAACCUUAUGGAAAGAUAAUCUAUCUAUGUAUAUGUCUUUUUCUUUCUAUCUCUCAAUGAUUGAAUGUGUAACAUUUUAGCUCAUAUGAUUAGGAGUGUGGGAUCAUGGAGGUAGUACUAAGAACA
RNAcentral lists this long non-coding RNA (3289 nucleotides) under Sorghum bicolor (sorghum). RNAcentral's name for it is "long non-coding RNA (SBIC_LNC004616)". The record is from RNAcentral. Lineage: Eukaryota; Viridiplantae; Streptophyta; Magnoliopsida; Poales; Poaceae.